Molecule: transfer RNA, 76 nt
Filed under: Acidobacteriota bacterium
Lineage: Bacteria; Pseudomonadati; Acidobacteriota
Description: Acidobacteria bacterium tRNA-Cys
Rfam family: tRNA
About the family: Transfer RNA (tRNA) molecules are approximately 80 nucleotides in length. Their secondary structure includes four short double-helical elements and three loops (D, anti-codon, and T loops).
Source: RNAcentral
GGACGAGUAGCCAAGUGGUAAGGCAUCGGCCUGCAAAGCCGAUCAUCGUUGGGUUCGAUUCCCACCUCGUCCUCCA